GGAAGCCUACGGGGGGCAGCAGUGGGGAAUAUUGCACAAUGGGGGAAACCCUGAUGCAGCAACGCCGCGUGAGUGAAGAAGUAUUUCGGUAUGUAAAGCUCUAUCAGCAGGGAAGAAGAUGACGGUACCUGAUUAAGAAGCCCCGGCUAACUACGUGCCAGCAGCCGCGGUAAUACGUAGGGGGCACGCGUUAUCCGGAUUUUCUGGGGGUAAAGGGAGCGCAGACGGCAGUGCAAGUCUGGAGUGAAAGCCC
RNAcentral lists this ribosomal RNA (253 nucleotides) under uncultured bacterium. Its description in RNAcentral is "partial 16S ribosomal RNA". It matches the Rfam family "Bacterial small subunit ribosomal RNA", at positions 333 to 603 of the family's 1533-position model. The record is from RNAcentral.